RNAcentral lists this ribosomal RNA (784 nucleotides) under Oceanobacillus sp. NEAU-ST5-18. RNAcentral's name for it is "bacterial SSU rRNA". It matches the Rfam family "Bacterial small subunit ribosomal RNA", at positions 63 to 813 of the family's 1533-position model. Lineage: Bacteria; Bacillati; Bacillota; Bacilli; Caryophanales; Bacillaceae. The record is from RNAcentral.
CGAGCGCAGGAAGUUAUCUGAUCCUCUUUUAGAGGUGACGAUAAUGGAAUGAGCGGCGGACGGGUGAGUAACACGUAGGCAACCUGCCUGUAAGACUGGGAUAACUCGUGGAAACGCGAGCUAAUACCGGAUAACACUUUUCAUCUCCUGAUGAGAAGUUGAAAGGCGGCUUUUGCUGUCACUUACAGAUGGGCCUGCGGCGCAUUAGCUAGUUGGUAAGGUAAUGGCUUACCAAGGCGACGAUGCGUAGCCGACCUGAGAGGGUGAUCGGCCACACUGGGACUGAGACACGGCCCAGACUCCUACGGGAGGCAGCAGUAGGGAAUCUUCCGCAAUGGACGAAAGUCUGACGGAGCAACGCCGCGUGAGUGAUGAAGGUUUUCGGAUCGUAAAACUCUGUUGUUAGGGAAGAACAAGUGCCAUAGUAACUGAUGGCACCUUGACGGUACCUAACCAGAAAGCCACGGCUAACUACGUGCCAGCAGCCGCGGUAAUACGUAGGUGGCAAGCGUUGUCCGGAAUUAUUGGGCGUAAAGCGCUCGCAGGCGGUUCUUUAAGUCUGAUGUGAAAUCUUACGGCUCAACCGUAAACGUGCAUUGGAAACUGGGGAACUUGAGUGCAGAAGAGGAGAGUGGAAUUCCACGUGUAGCGGUGAAAUGCGUAGAGAUGUGGAGGAACACCAGUGGCGAAGGCGACUCUCUGGUCUGUAACUGACGCUGAGGAGCGAAAGCGUGGGGAGCGAACAGGAUUAGAUACCCUGGUAGUCCACGCCGUAAACGAUGAG